This 339-nucleotide ribosomal RNA is filed under the name uncultured bacterium. RNAcentral's name for it is "bacterial SSU rRNA". It matches the Rfam family "Bacterial small subunit ribosomal RNA", at positions 29 to 393 of the family's 1533-position model. The record is from RNAcentral.
AACGAACGCUGGCGGCAGGCCUAACACAUGCAAGUCGAACGCUCGUAGCAAUACGAGAGUGGCAGACGGGUGAGUAACACGUGGGAACCUUCCCUAUGGUUCGGAAUAGCUCAGGGAAACUUGGGGGUAAUACCGGAUAAGCCCUUCGGGGAAAGAUUUAUCGCCAUUGGAUGGGCCCGCGUCGGAUUAGCUAGUUGGUGAGGUAACGGCUCACCAAGGCAACGAUCCGUAGCUGGUCUGAGAGGAUGAUCAGCCACACUGGGACUGAGACACGGCCCAGACUCCUACGGGAGGCAGCAGUGGGGAAUAUUGGACAAUGGGCGCAAGCCUGAUCCAGCC